RNAcentral lists this ribosomal RNA (206 nucleotides) under uncultured bacterium. RNAcentral's name for it is "partial 16S ribosomal RNA". It matches the Rfam family "Bacterial small subunit ribosomal RNA", at positions 523 to 726 of the family's 1533-position model. The record is from RNAcentral.
UGACGAAGGGGGCUAGCUGUUGCUCGGAAUCACUGGGCGUAAAGCGCACGUAGGCGGAUCUUUAAGUCAGGGGUGAAAUCCCAACGGCUCAACCUUGGAACUGCCUUUGAUACUGGGGAUCUCGAGUCCGGAAGAGGUUGGUGGAACUGCGAGUGUAGAGGUGAAAUUCGUAGAUAUCGCAAGAACACCAGUGGCGGAAGGCGGCC